RNAcentral lists this ribosomal RNA (907 nucleotides) under Salmonella enterica. RNAcentral's name for it is "partial 23S ribosomal RNA". It matches the Rfam family "Bacterial large subunit ribosomal RNA", at positions 711 to 1534 of the family's 2925-position model. The record is from RNAcentral. RNAcentral also lists the same sequence under 2 other names. Lineage: Bacteria; Pseudomonadati; Pseudomonadota; Gammaproteobacteria; Enterobacterales; Enterobacteriaceae.
AGACCCGAAACCCGGUGAUCUAGCCAUGGGCAGGUUGAAGGUUGGGUAACACUAACUGGAGGACCGAACCGACUAAUGUUGAAAAAUUAGCGGAUGACCUGUGGCUGGGGGUGAAAGGCCAAUCAAACCGGGAGAUAGCUGGUUCUCCCCGAAAGCUAUUUAGGUAGCGCCUCGUGAAUUCAUCUCCGGGGGUAGAGCACUGUUUCGGCUAGGGGGCCAUCCCGGCUUACCAACCCGAUGCAAACUGCGAAUACCGGAGAAUGUUAUCACGGGAGACACACGGCGGGUGCUAACGUCCGUCGUGAAGAGGGAAACAACCCAGACCGCCAGCUAAGGUCCCAAAGUCAUGGUUAAGUGGGAAACGAUGUGGGAAGGCCCAGACAGCCAGGAUGUUGGCUUAGAAGCAGCCAUCAUUUAAAGAAAGCGUAAUAGCUCACUGGUCGAGUCGGCCUGCGCGGAAGAUGUAACGGGGCUAAACCAUGCACCGAAGCUGCGGCAGCGAACGUAUCACCCAAGACAACUUUACGGAGUUGACGAUUGACGGAGCGAAGCGACGUCAAAGCGUUCAUUAAAGUCGAGUUGGCUUAGGGAUACGUUCGUUGGGUAGGGGAGCGUUCUGUAAGCCUGUGAAGGUGUGUCGUGAGGCAUGCUGGAGGUAUCAGAAGUGCGAAUGCUGACAUAAGUAACGAUAAAGCGGGUGAAAAGCCCGCUCGCCGGAAGACCAAGGGUUCCUGUCCAACGUUAAUCGGGGCAGGGUGAGUCGACCCCUAAGGCGAGGCCGAAAGGCGUAGUCGAUGGGAAACGGGUUAAUAUUCCCGUACUUGGUGUUACUGCGAAGGGGGGACGGAGAAGGCUAUGUUGGCCGGGCGACGGUUGUCCCGGUUUAAGCGUGUAGGUGUGUGUUCCA